GGGGGUACAGCUCAGUGGUAGAGCACAUGCUUAACAUGCACAAGGUCCUAGGUUCAAUACCCACUACUUCCA
RNAcentral lists this transfer RNA (72 nucleotides) under Camelus bactrianus (Bactrian camel). It matches the Rfam family "tRNA". Rfam says of the family: Transfer RNA (tRNA) molecules are approximately 80 nucleotides in length. Their secondary structure includes four short double-helical elements and three loops (D, anti-codon, and T loops). RNAcentral also lists the same sequence under 3 other names. Lineage: Eukaryota; Metazoa; Chordata; Mammalia; Artiodactyla; Camelidae. The record is from Rfam by way of RNAcentral.